GGAGGGAUGGCCGAGUGGUUUAAGGCGGCGGUCUUGAAAACCGUUGAGGGUCGUGAGGUCCUCCGGGAGUUCGAAUCUCUCUCCCUCCGCCA
RNAcentral lists this transfer RNA (92 nucleotides) under Deltaproteobacteria bacterium. RNAcentral's name for it is "tRNA-Ser". It matches the Rfam family "tRNA". Rfam says of the family: Transfer RNA (tRNA) molecules are approximately 80 nucleotides in length. Their secondary structure includes four short double-helical elements and three loops (D, anti-codon, and T loops). Further hydrogen bonds mediate the characteristic L-shaped molecular structure. tRNAs have two regions of fundamental functional importance: the anti-codon, which is responsible for specific mRNA codon recognition, and the 3' end, to which the tRNAs corresponding amino acid is attached (by aminoacyl-tRNA synthetases). tRNAs cope with the degeneracy of the genetic code in two manners: having more than one tRNA (with a specific anti-codon) for a particular amino acid; and 'wobble' base-pairing, i.e. permitting non-standard base-pairing at the 3rd anti-codon position. The record is from RNAcentral. RNAcentral also lists the same sequence under 1 other name. Lineage: Bacteria; Pseudomonadati; Myxococcota; Myxococcia.